CCUACGGGGGGCAGCAGUCGAGAAUCAUUCACAAUGGGGGAAACCCUGAUGGUGCGACGCCGCGUGGGGGAAUGAAGGUCUUCGGAUUGUAAACCCCUGUCAUGUGGGAGCAAAUUAAAAAGAUCGUACCACAAGAGGAAGAGACGGCUAACUCUGUGCCAGCAGCCGCGGUAAUACAGAGGUCUCAAGCGUUGUUCGGAAUCACUGGGCGUAAAGCGUGCGUAGGCUGUUACGUAAGUCGUGUGUGAAAGGCGCGGGCUCAACCCGCGGACGGCACAUGUUACUGCGAGACUAGAGUAAGGGAGGGGGAACCGGAAUUCUCGGUGUAGCAGUGAAAUGCGUAGAUAUCGAGAGGAACACUCGUGGCGAAGGCGGGUUCCUGGACAUUAACUGACGCUGAGGCACGAAGGCCAGGGGAGCGAAAGGGAUUAGAUACCCUUGUAGUC
Molecule: ribosomal RNA, 446 nt
Filed under: uncultured bacterium
Lineage: Bacteria
Description: partial 16S ribosomal RNA
Rfam family: Bacterial small subunit ribosomal RNA
Source: RNAcentral